RNAcentral lists this ribosomal RNA (1148 nucleotides) under Escherichia coli. Its description in RNAcentral is "partial 23S ribosomal RNA". It matches the Rfam family "Bacterial large subunit ribosomal RNA", at positions 1 to 1191 of the family's 2925-position model. The record is from RNAcentral. Lineage: Bacteria; Pseudomonadati; Pseudomonadota; Gammaproteobacteria; Enterobacterales; Enterobacteriaceae.
GGUUAAGCGACUAAGCGUACACGGUGGAUGCCCUGGCAGUCAGAGGCGAUGAAGGACGUGCUAAUCUGCGAUAAGCGUCGGUGAGGUGAUAUGAACCGUUAUAACCGGCGAUUUCCGAAUGGGGAAACCCAGUGUGUUUCGACACACUAUCAUUAACUGAAUCCAUAGGUUAAUGAGGCGAACCGGGGGAACUGAAACAUCUAAGUACCCCGAGGAAAAGAAAUCAACCGAGAUUCCCCCAGUAGCGGCGAGCGAACGGGGAGGAGCCCAGAGCCUGAAUCAGUGUGUGUGUUAGUGGAAGCGUCUGGAAAGGCGUGCGAUACAGGGUGACAGCCCCGUACACAAAAAUGCACAUAUUGUGAGCUCGAUGAGUAGGGCGGGACACGUGGUAUCCUGUCUGAAUAUGGGGGGACCAUCCUCCAAGGCUAAAUACUCCUGACUGACCGAUAGUGAACCAGUACCGUGAGGGAAAGGCGAAAAGAACCCCGGCGAGGGGAGUGAAAAAGAACCUGAAACCGUGUACGUACAAGCAGUGGGAGCCUCUUAAUGGGGUGACUGCGUACCUUUUGUAUAAUGGGUCAGCGACUUAUAUUCUGUAGCAAGGUUAACCGAAUAGGGGAGCCGAAGGGAAACCGAGUCUUAACUGGGCGUUAAGUUGCAGGGUAUAGACCCGAAACCCGGUGAUCUAGCCAUGGGCAGGUUGAAGGUUGGGUAACACUAACUGGAGGACCGAACCGACUAAUGUUGAAAAAUUAGCGGAUGACUUGUGGCUGGGGGUGAAAGGCCAAUCAAACCGGGAGAUAGCUGGUUCUCCCCGAAAGCUAUUUAGGUAGCGCCUCGUGAAUUCAUCUCCGGGGGUAGAGCACUGUUUCGGCAAGGGGGUCAUCCCGACUUACCAACCCGAUGCAAACUGCGAAUACCGGAGAAUGUUAUCACGGGAGACACACGGCGGGUGCUAACGUCCGUCGUGAAGAGGGAAACAACCCAGACCGCCAGCUAAGGUCCCAAAGUCAUGGUUAAGUGGGAAACGAUGUGGGAAGGCCCAGACAGCCAGGAUGUUGGCUUAGAAGCAGCCAUCAUUUAAAGAAAGCGUAAUAGCUCACUGGUCGAGUCGGCCUGCGCGGAAGAUGUAACGGGGCUAAACCAUG